Molecule: long non-coding RNA, 229 nt
Organism: Portunus trituberculatus (swimming crab)
Lineage: Eukaryota; Metazoa; Arthropoda; Malacostraca; Decapoda; Portunidae
Exons: 2
Source: RefSeq, a predicted model, not a curated record
UUCCCAUACUCCCAGGCAAGGGUUGAGAGAGGGAGGGGAAAGGGACGGCGGGGUGGGUUACUUACAGGGGCUAUGUGGAGUGAUUAUAUGGUAGUACAAAUGGUCCCUUUGAAAGGCAGUGUGUAUGUAUGUGUGUGUGUGUGUGUGUGUGUGUGUGUGUGUGUGUGUGUGUGUGUGUGUGUGUGUGUGUGUGUGUGUGUGUGUGUGUGUGUGUGUGUGUGUGUGUGUG